GUCGAACGAUGAAGCCCAGCUUGCUGGGUGGAUUAGUGGCGAACGGGUGAGUAACACGUGAGUAACCUGCCCUUAACUCUGGGAUAAGCCUGGGAAACUGGGUCUAAUACCGGAUAGGAGCGCCUACCGCAUGGUGGGUGUUGGAAAGAUUUAUCGGUUUUGGAUGGACUCGCGGCCUAUCAGCUUGUUGGUGAGGUAAUGGCUCACCAAGGCGACGACGGGUAGCCGGCCUGAGAGGGUGACCGGCCACACUGGGACUGAGACACGGCCCAGACUCCUACGGGAGGCAGCAGUGGGGAAUAUUGCACAAUGGGCGCAAGCCUGAUGCAGCGACGCCGCGUGAGGGAUGACGGCCUUCGGGUUGUAAACCUCUUUCAGUAGGGAAGAAGCGAAAGUGACGGUACCUGCAGAAGAAGCACCGGCUAACUACGUGCCAGCAGCCGCGGUAAUACGUAGGGUGCGAGCGUUAUCCGGAAUUAUUGGGCGUAAAGAGCUCGUAGGCGGUUUGUCGCGUCUGUCGUGAAAGUCCGGGGCUUAACCCCGGAUCUGCGGUGGGUACGGGCAGACUAGAGUGCAGUAGGGGAGACUGGAAUUCCUGGUGUAGCGGUGGAAUGCGCAGAUAUCAGGAGGAACACCGAUGGCGAAGGCAGGUCUCUGGGCUGUAACUGACGCUGAGGAGC
RNAcentral lists this ribosomal RNA (680 nucleotides) under Micrococcus sp. Mc110. RNAcentral describes it as "bacterial SSU rRNA". It matches the Rfam family "Bacterial small subunit ribosomal RNA", at positions 61 to 754 of the family's 1533-position model. Lineage: Bacteria; Bacillati; Actinomycetota; Actinomycetes; Micrococcales; Micrococcaceae. The record is from RNAcentral.